CCCCCGCGCGCCCGCGGCCCGCGCCCGGGCCCGCCUUCGCCGCCUUGCUGCCCUGCACGCCCGCCGCCGCUGCAGCCGCUGCGCUAGAAGGAAAAAGGCCUGUAUCCUAUCAACACUUAUCUAGCAGCAUGCUGCAAAAGAGGAACUAUGAGAAUUUUAUUGGGAACGCACAUUAUCGACCAAAUGACAAAAAAACUUGAUUUCCUAUUUUGGGGAUGAAAGGUCUUGAUGGAUAUAAAUGUGUACUCUCCAUGAAAUUAAAUUAGUUUCAUCCUUUGAAAAAGCAAAUGUUGAAAGCUACUGAAAUAAGCUGUGAUUGUACUGUAUGUAUAACACAUAAAGGAGCACUACGGUUUUCUAAAGUUGUUCUGUUAACUUUUGUACCAAAUAGCAAUAAAGACUAUAGUUGGAAGAUUUGGGUUGUACACAAAUGGAGACUGGACAUCAUCUCUAUUUUGCCCUGAAUAAUAUGUUUUUUUAGAAUUGACCAAAUAAGAAAUGGAGGUUUUUUUUUUGUUUGUUUUUGUUUUUGCAUACUUGAGCGCUGCUGAAAAGAAAUCAUUUGGGUUGGGGGGUGGGGUGGGGAGAAAGUAUAUAACGCUUGCACCUCAGGUAAAAAAUUUUGUAAAUAUAUGUUGUAAACCUGCUUGUUUAAAUACUGUGUGUAUUCUUUUCCUCUAAUGUUGCUCAUCACUUUGAGCACAUAUCUGCUAUUUGUCCUCUUUCAUCUAAAAUGUACGGUUUUUGUUUUUUUUUAAUCUCAGUGAUUUGUAUUAUGUUAAAUCUUCCACAGUCUCUUGUCUUAAUGGAAAGAUCGACCCCCCCCAUGAAUAAUGUGCUGCUUGUACCAAGAUCAGCCUUUCUCUAGUUGGUUCCCUUUUAUUGCAAAUUUCGGUAGGUCGUCUGAGGAAGACCCAGACCCAUAAUCCUCUUCUCAGGGGAUUGGCGGGGGGAUUUUUAAGUGUGUGUAUCUAUAGAGAAGCAUUUCCUCUAGGCCAGCCACACACUCAGUAAACAUACCAAAUUGUAUGUGGAGUUACUUAGUUUUCUAAUCAAAUGAAUCAUUUUUGUUGGAAAAUUCUAUAACUAAUUCUGGAAUUAGUUAUAAAAAUAUAAAGGCUAAAUUAUACAUGUGGAUUACAUAUAUUGGAAGCAGUUUUAAAAGAAAUGAAAGCUGAGGGGUAAAUUUUAGGUUUGCAUCUGGUAGUCUCGGUGUGUCUGGCGCUUGGGUUGCCUGUGGACACGCUCAGGUUAAUUACAGACACAUGGAUUGUGCAGGGGUGCUGACUGAGGCUCCUGGUACUCCGGGGAGUUCCCUGGUCUGGAGACCUCAGCAUCUUCCCAUUUUUGGUGGUUUGGAGGCAGUACCAUUUUCUCAGUGUACAGGACAGUUUGGGUUUUAAAGAGAGACUAGCCACCAGCUGGCUAACUAAAUGUUUUAUUACACUUCUGUUCCUUAAUCCACUGUCCAUGGCUGACUGUUACAGGCAGCACCUGGGUUUAGUGACCACAACAUACUUUAUUAAGAAAACUGUUUCAAAAAUAAAUUUGCACUGUUAAUUUUUCUUGCCUUGCCCUUCUCCAUUAGAACAAGGGUAAUGUCCUCAAAAGAAUCCUGAAUUUUUGUUUGUUCUCAUUAUGCAACACGACGCUCACUUGAUAGAAAAGUCUUAACUCCCAGGUGAGAAGGGAGACCUAAUCUGAGCUGACUCUGCUGGCAUCGUGAUGAAGUGCUUUGUAUCAGGAAAGUGUACACUAUUGACCUUUCUUUCUGUUCACAAGCUGAGCCAUAUGUACAUAAUCUAGAUUUUUGUUUUCCUAGUUUUGCACUUUUAUAGCCUAUUUUUGAAGAUUAACACAUUGAGAAAGAUGAUUGACAUGAUCCUUACCUAAUCCAAUAAGUGUUACAGAAAGAAAGCUUGCUGUGACGAUAAAUAUAAAUCUUAAAAGGGGAUAAACACGAUGAUAGAGGGCUGAAAUUUAAAUCUGUAUUUAAAAAAAAAAAAUCACCAAAUCUAUUUGAAAACAAGUCAAUUCAUGUUAUGCUGAAAUCUGGGUACCUUUCAGAUUUCUCCUUUUUAGCCACAUUUCUGAAUCCUUAAAAAUAGAGUUGUUUUUCUUUCCACAGCCCUUGUACUCCAAAAUGUUUUUUUUUUUUUCCUUUUUUUGUCCAUCAGUAUUAACUAUUGGGAUACUACUGGUUCUGUAUGUUUUUUCCCUUUGAGACAACAGCACAUAUACUAGAGGUACAAUCUGUUGGAUUUUUGUUUAUGUAUUUAUUUCAUUCCAGUUUGAUUUAUUUUAAUUGUUGAUACUUAAGUUGUCAAACAGUAGACAUUACUUGUUUUAUUUAUGAUAUAUUUCAGCUUAAAGUUAUGUUAUUAUAUGUGGAUGUAAAUAUAGAUUUGGUGUUUUGCAA
Molecule: long non-coding RNA, 2419 nt
Organism: Dama dama (fallow deer)
Lineage: Eukaryota; Metazoa; Chordata; Mammalia; Artiodactyla; Cervidae
Exons: 3
Source: RefSeq, a predicted model, not a curated record